Molecule: long non-coding RNA, 1311 nt
Filed under: Homo sapiens (human)
Lineage: Eukaryota; Metazoa; Chordata; Mammalia; Primates; Hominidae
Description: HSALNT0356975
Source: RNAcentral
GCGAUAGGCGUCUCAGACUUGAAGACGCCUCUCCAGCAGAACUCCCUCAUUGGUCGGCAAGAGAAAACAAAGCUGGGCUCUGAUUGGUGACAGCUCUGUAGCUCCUCCUCAUACCCGCAGUCCCCGCAAGUUCCACCCCUGCCCGCCCGGUUCGCUCGCCCUUGGUUCCCACUCCCAGGUGGCUGCAGACUGGAGUGUGUUUCAUGGACGAGCAACCUCCCUGAGGAGAACCCCGGAUACGCAGGUUCAUUCGCCAGAUGCGAGUUUUCUUAAGCCGCUGCGAUUCUCUGAUUUCAGUAUGAACUUGGUGAAUAACGUAAUCUUUAACUUCCUUUGGAUUCAGACAAGUCUCCUAGGUUUAAAAAUGCUGCAUAAGAUUGAGAGGGAUAUUGUUAUGCACGAAAAAAGACAUAAGGUGUUUUCACCUUUGGCGACACUAGUCACCAGUAAAAUGAGCAUUCAUUCAUUAAGCCAAUCAUCAGGAAUGGAUCUAGGAAGAACCUACUGUUUACUAGAAAUAGGUUAGAUCUGUGGAUAUAACAAUGAAUAAGACAAGACUGGUGGAUCUAUAGAGAAACUAUUACUGCACAGGUGAUGGGGAAAUCAAGAGUACUAUGGGGCCAAGGAGACUGUCCUGCAGCAAAUGAGGAAUAAGCUGAAACAUCAGUAGGAGCCAUCCCAGAGAAAAGGGACAGGGUUCUAGAUCCAGAGAACAACAGAAGAGCAUUCAGCGCCUGCAAGGGAGCAGGGGAUCUAAUGCAAAGCCAUUGCAUAACCAGUCAACUUUCCCCACAUCACAAGAUUGCCUAGCCUGGAUGGCCCCAGAAUGUUGAAACAAAUGUCUAAUUAGUAACGACAUUCUGAAUGCUUGGGAGCUGAGCAAAAUAUGAGGAGAAGCAACCUGAUUUUUGUUUCAUAUUAUCAUCUCCUUUAUUCCAGCAACAAAAGACACUGAAAAUAGUAAAUGCCCACUUUCAACCAUGACAGCCCUUUUAGGAUAGUAACGGUGAGCAGUAUUAAUCCUAUUUGACCAGAACUAGGGCAGAAUUGAAGCCCCUGGAGUAGAGAUCUGUUCUAUUAGCCCCAGCCUUUCCGCCUGCUUCUUGGGAUGGCUAUCUUUACUUUAUCAGUUGAGCCUCCAGCAUUAGCAGAUACCUAUAAGGGAAGAGAUCCAGCCCUCACUAUGGAGGGCCAGAAAGAGAAAGCACCAGACAUUAGGAAAUGUCAAAGUAUCUCAGUACAUCCAGCUGAUUAGUGACAGAUAAGUCAAAAUUUGCAGCAACUAAAUAAAUCAAAAAGUAGAUUUUAAAA